Molecule: long non-coding RNA, 356 nt
Filed under: Physcomitrium patens
Lineage: Eukaryota; Viridiplantae; Streptophyta; Bryopsida; Funariales; Funariaceae
Description: long non-coding RNA (PPAT_LNC012278)
Source: RNAcentral
GUUGUUCAUGCAAUGCAAUCCAUAAACUUUGGACUUCCACUUCAAUUGGUAAGAUUAUUUUUUGCUCAUAAACCAAUUUAAACAAGAUAGAAUUGGUUAUUACUUAUAUGUUGUACGAUACGCCCAUAAAACUACAAAUAAUUUGGUAUCCCAAUCAGUGUCUACCUUCGAAAUAGUCUUAAUCUUCCGGUAUGCACCAAAAAGAACUAAAUUUGUGGUCGGCAUCAUAUUACUUCUUCAAUAAUGUCUUCUUCAAAAUCCAAUUUUUCUUCCUUAUACUAAGAUAGAUCAAAUUCUUCUUCAAUAUCUUCGAGGACUAGCUCUUGAUCUCGUUGUUUAAAAAGUUUUAUAUAUUU